Non-coding RNA from Octopus bimaculoides (California two-spot octopus), 81 nucleotides. The record is from Rfam. Lineage: Eukaryota; Metazoa; Mollusca; Cephalopoda; Octopoda; Octopodidae.
CUUGGGGAUGGUCAUAUUGCCAGUUUAGCCAAUAAAAACACACGCACAGUGCGUGUGUUUUUAUUGGCUAAACUGGCAAUA